AGCACCUGAUGACCCCUAACGCUGUGGCUGGCGACCUCGGGGAAGAGUGGGCAGUGCUUAGAGAACCCUCUUCAGGCGUACCGCCUGGCGCAGUUGGAAGAACGGGCUCUCGAAGGGAUUUCUAGACCCAGUGUCAUUUCCCAGCUGGAGCAGAAGGAAGAGCCCGGGGUGCCACCACUGCAAACUUUUGAGACAAGGACGAUCCCGAGGGAAAGCACCCAGACUUUGAGAAUCAGGUAAAAAAACUCCAUCAGGACACUUUGGAAACAGCAGAACAAGGUGGAGCAUCCUCAGAAAGGGCCAAUAAAAGUGUCGCUCGUACUCCCGUCCGGGGAGGAACCUGGGAGAGGGGCCUUGAAUCAGGAGAGCGUGGCCGCCAUCCAGGACAGGGCCGUCGGGAGCCCUCCUCGCAGGACGGGGACCUAACCCAGCUCCUGGGUGGAUUUGUAGGGAGGAAGCCUGUGUGUGCAGAGUGUGGGAAAAGCUUUAACCAGAGGUCCUGUCUCGUGAGGCACCUAAGAACCCAUAGCGGGGAGAGGCCUUAUAAGUGCGCCGAGUGCGGGAAAGCCUUCAAACAGAGCUCAGGCCUCGUCACCCACCGCAGAACCCACACGGGAGAGAGGCCCUGCCCGUGCAGUGCCUGCGAGAGGAAGUUCAGCGACAGCUCCACGCCGGGGAGAGACCCUACGCGUGCCCGGAGUGUGGGAAGACUUUCGGGUGGAAGCCGCACCUGGUCAUGCACCAAAGAACCCACACGGGAGAGAAGCCCUACACGUGCCUCAAAUGCCAUACAAGCUUCAUUCGAAGCUCAGAUCUCAUCACCCACCAGAGGACGCACACGGGAGGGAAGCCUUACGGGUGCGAUGACUGCGGGGAGAGUUUUCGCCAGGGCUCGGAUUUGGUGAGGCAUCGGCGGCGGACGCACACGCAGGGGAGCGGCCCUUGCGGUGCCCGCGGCGCGGGAAGGCCUUCAGAGACAGCUCUCACUUCGCGGCUCGCAUGACCACUCACGCCGGAGAAAGGCCUUUCCGUUGUCCCUCCUGCCACAAGGGUUUCAGCUAGAGCUCACACCUGGUCGCGCACGAGAGGACCCGCACACAGGCGAGAGGCCUUUUCAGUGCGGCGACUGUGGGAAAGGCUCCGCUGACAGCGCUGCCCUCCUUAAGCACCAGCGCACCCACUCGGGAGAGAGACCCUACCGAUGGACCCACUCGGGAGAGAGACCCUACCGAUGCGGCGAGUGUGGGAGGAGCUUCAGCCAGAGCUCCCACUUCGCGACCCACCAGCGCGUCCACGUGGGGGGCAGGCCCUUUCGGUGCCCUGAGUGCGGCAAAACCUUCCGUCAGCGUUCGCGUGUCCUGACACACCACAGGACGCACACGGGAGAAAGGCCUUUUCGCUGCGGCAAAUGCGACAAGCGCUUCCGUCGGAAAGCACACCUUUUAUGCCAUCAAAACACUCAUCUGACUUAGGAAAUGGUCUCCAGUGGCUCUCCCGUUCCCUUCCACGUUUUGGUUGCUGCGGGCUUCAAGCCCCCCACGGAGAGAAAACCCGAACCCGGGCUUCGGAGGCUUCCCGAGGGCCCUGACCCGUUCAGUCUCUCUGCUCUUCCCCACGUUUUGUGAUGAGGAUAAAACUUUAGGGUCCGAAGAACAUUUUGAACACAAAAGGCAAUCCUUCCGUGUUUUUGAUGGACUCUUAGACAGGGAAAUGGGAGUUUAAUGACUGAUGCCUGCUUACUGAAAGAGAAGCGAGAUACAUGUGGCCUAGAGA
Molecule: long non-coding RNA, 1773 nt
Organism: Phyllostomus hastatus (greater spear-nosed bat)
Lineage: Eukaryota; Metazoa; Chordata; Mammalia; Chiroptera; Phyllostomidae
Exons: 3
Source: RefSeq, a predicted model, not a curated record